Long non-coding RNA from Callithrix jacchus (white-tufted-ear marmoset), 1014 nucleotides. RefSeq lists it as uncharacterized. The record is from RefSeq and is a predicted model, not a curated record. NCBI's taxonomy places the organism in Eukaryota, Metazoa, Chordata, Mammalia, Primates, Cebidae.
GGCAUCACUAGGGCCAGACUCUGGUGCCCAUGGGCCUCUGCUCAUCCUCGCUCCUUCCCACCCUCAAGGUUGGCACCCUUUCCCUCUGCACUAGUGACUUUCCCCUGUGCCACAUCCAGCACCUACCACCCAACCACUCUGUUGCCAGCUGCUCAGAGCGGCAAAAGCCAGCUGCGCAGAUGCUUUCCCCGGAGUGUGAGUACUAUUCUGUUUACAUAGCUGGGGAAAGCAACACAGUGUAAUGACUAAGAGCCUGAAUUUGGCGCUACACAGAUAAGGAUCUGAACUCAUGCUCCACCAUACUUACUGUGCAGGCUGGAGCACAUGAGUAGAGACAAGAUUUCAUCAUCUUGGCCAGGCUGGUCCUGAAUUCCUGACAUCAUGGUUUACCCACCUUGCCUCCCAAAGUGCUGGGAUUACAGAUACCGUCUCUAUUAGCUCAGAACAAGAAUAUUGAUUGCAUUUGGUGAACUAAGGUAUAAAGGAUUGAAAUUUAACCUUUCAGUGAAAGUUUUUAGAAGACUGAAAUGGAUUUUAAAAAUUACAGCUUGCAGUCAUACCAAUUAAGUCGAAACAAUGGGCCAGAUGUGGUGGCUCACACCUUUAAUCCCAGUACUUUGGGAGGUCAAGGUGGGUGGAUCACCUAAGAUCAGCAGUUUGAGACCAGCCUGGCCAUCACCGUGAAACCCUGUCUCUACUAAAAAUACAAAAAUUAGCUAGGCAUAGUGGCAAGCACCUAUAAUCCCAGCUACUUGGGAGGCUGAAGCAGGAGAAUCACUUGAACCUGGGAGGUGGAGGUUGCAGUGAGCUGAGAUUGUGCCACUGCACUCCAGCCUGGACAACAAGAGUGAAACUCCACCUCAAAAAAAGAAAAAUAAUAAUAAUAAUCAAAAUAAUGAAACUAUUAAACUCUGCAUUUACAAAGAAAAUGGAGUUAAAAGGUAUCGAAUGUAUAUGUUUACACAGAGACAGACAUAUAAUGUGCCUACACACACACACACACACACACACACA